UACGAAGGGGGCUAGCGUUGCUCGGAAUCACUGGGCGUAAAGGGCGCGUAGGCGGACUCUUAAGUCAGGGGUGAAAGCCUGAGGCUCAACCUCAGAACUGCCUUUGAUACUGAGAGUCUCGAGACCGGUAGAGGUAAGUGGAACUGCGAGUGUAGAGGUGAAAUUCGUAGAUAUUCGCAAGAACACCAGUGGCGAAGGCGGCUCGCUGGGCCGGACCUGACGCUGAGACGCGAAGGCGUGGGGAGCGAACGGG
This 253-nucleotide ribosomal RNA is filed under the name uncultured bacterium. Its description in RNAcentral is "partial 16S ribosomal RNA". It matches the Rfam family "Bacterial small subunit ribosomal RNA", at positions 524 to 776 of the family's 1533-position model. The record is from RNAcentral.